Molecule: non-coding RNA, 30 nt
Filed under: Rattus norvegicus (Norway rat)
Lineage: Eukaryota; Metazoa; Chordata; Mammalia; Rodentia; Muridae
Source: RNAcentral
UCUUUGCCCCGGUGAUGAAGAGUUGUGCAU